AAGUCGUAACAAGGUUUCCGUAGGUGAACCUGCGGAAGGAUCAUUAGCGCAUUCUUUGUUUCUUUCUUUGUUGUGGAAACUCAAUGGGGGAGCUUUGGCUCUCUGUUUGUUUUCCCUCAAACUCGUUUCUUGGUGAACUGAGUGUGUUUUCUUUGUUUGCUUUUUGAUCUUGUGUGUGAUGAGAGAGGAGGAGAGAUGAGUGAGUGUGUGGGUUCCACUCUCUCCUCGUUUCUCAUUUCUCUCUCUCCACACAUUUUCAAAUACCCCAACCACACAACCAAACCAAUCACUUGGUCAAACGAACAACAAACCAAAAACAAAAAACAACUCUUAACAAUGGAUUUCUUGGUUCUC
RNAcentral lists this unclassified non-coding RNA (354 nucleotides) under fungal sp. Its description in RNAcentral is "partial internal transcribed spacer region". The stretch from base 1 to 46 matches the Rfam family "Eukaryotic small subunit ribosomal RNA", at positions 1786 to 1831 of the family's 1831-position model. Lineage: Eukaryota; Fungi. The record is from RNAcentral.